UUCUGCGAAUUGUUUUGGCAAUUGUUUAUUCCUCUUAAAAAUAGUAGGUAUAGCACUGAAUAUCUCGAGGGAGUAUGAAAAUAUUUAUCUCAGAUAUUUAAUCUCAAAAUAACUAUUUCUUAAAAUAAAUAAUCAGACUAUGUGCGAUAAGGUAGAUAGUCGAAAGGGAAACAGCCCAGAACAGUAAUUAAAGCUCCCCAUUAAAUAUUAAGUGAA
Molecule: ribosomal RNA, 216 nt
Filed under: Pneumocystis jirovecii
Lineage: Eukaryota; Fungi; Ascomycota; Pneumocystomycetes; Pneumocystales; Pneumocystaceae
Description: partial large subunit ribosomal RNA
Rfam family: Bacterial large subunit ribosomal RNA
Source: RNAcentral